AUACUUCAUUACCUGCGCAGCGGU
Molecule: small nuclear RNA, 24 nt
Filed under: Arabidopsis thaliana (thale cress)
Lineage: Eukaryota; Viridiplantae; Streptophyta; Magnoliopsida; Brassicales; Brassicaceae
Description: snRNA_09881
Source: RNAcentral